UACAGAGGCCUCGAGCGUUGUUCGGAAUUACUGGGCGUAAAGGGAAUGUAGGUGGUCGGAUAAGUCAGAUGUGAAAGCCCUGGGCUUAACCUGGGAAGUGCAUUUGAUACUGUUCGGCUGGAGUGCGUGAGAGGAAAGCGGAAUUUCUGGUGUAGGGGUGAAAUCCGUAGAUAUCAGAAGGACUACCGAUGGCGAAGGCAGCUUUCUGGCACGUAACUGACACUGAGAUUCGAAAGCUUGGGUAGCAAACAGG
Molecule: ribosomal RNA, 253 nt
Filed under: uncultured bacterium
Lineage: Bacteria
Description: partial 16S ribosomal RNA
Rfam family: Bacterial small subunit ribosomal RNA
Source: RNAcentral